GGAUGUGAGGGUGAUCUGGCUGCAACAUCUGUCACCCUAUUGAUCACCAGGGUUGAUUCUGCUGAUCUGGCUGGCUAGGCAGGUGUCCCCUUCCUCCCUCACCGCUCCAUGUGCGACCCUCCCAAAGGGCAUAAAUUAUGCCCAGCCUAUUGUUUGUUUUUUGUCCUUGAGAUAGACAUCUAAGAACUUGAUGUCUGGAAUCAAAGUGUCUCAGUUUAAACCUUAGCUCUGCCCCUUACUUGUUAUGUGACCUCGGGCAAAGUUCUUAACUUCUUGGUUCCUCAGUUUCUUCAUCUAUGCAAUGGGAUACUGAUCCUCACU
This 321-nucleotide small nuclear RNA is filed under the name Callithrix jacchus (white-tufted-ear marmoset). Its description in RNAcentral is "7SK RNA". The stretch from base 1 to 141 matches the Rfam family "7SK RNA". Lineage: Eukaryota; Metazoa; Chordata; Mammalia; Primates; Cebidae. The record is from Rfam by way of RNAcentral.